Molecule: ribosomal RNA, 253 nt
Filed under: uncultured bacterium
Lineage: Bacteria
Description: partial 16S ribosomal RNA
Rfam family: Bacterial small subunit ribosomal RNA
Source: RNAcentral
UACGGGGGGGGCAAGCGUUGUUCGGAAUUACUGGGCGUAAAGGGCGCGUAGGCGGCCUGCUAAGUCGGGUGUGAAAACUCUGGGCUCAACCCAGAGCCUGCAUUCGAUACUGACGGGCUAGAGUUCUGGAGGGGAAAGCGGAAUUCCUGGUGUAGCGGUGAAAUGCGUAGAUAUCAGGAGGAACACCGGCGGCGAAGGCGGCUUUCUGGACAGAAACUGACGCUGAGGCGCGAAAGCUAGGGGAGCAAACAGG